GCAGAGUUAAAACCUCGUACCUUUUGCAUCAUGACUUAGUGAGCAUAUUUAAGCAAAAUGAAUUUAAGUUUAAACACCCGAAACCAAGCGAGCUACUCCAAGGCAGCCUAUUAACUAGGGCACCCCCGUCUCUGUGGCAAAAGAGUGGGAAGACCUUCGAGUAGAGGUGACAAACCUACCGAGCCUGGUGAUAGCUGGUUACUUGAUAAAUGAAUAUUAGUUCAGCCCCCUGGAUUCUUUAUAAUCCUUAGGAGUUAGUCAAAAGGGGUACAGCCUUUUUGAUAAAAGAAACAACUUUAACCUGAGGAUAAAGAUCAUAAUUACACAAGGACUUGUUCUAAGGUGGGCCUAAAAGCAGCCAUCCUUGCAGAAAGCGUUAAAGCUCAAGAACUAAAUUAAGAUUUAUUCACUUAAUCCCUAACAACCACCAAGUCCUUCUAUACUGUAUAGAAAAGAUUAUGCUAACAUGAGUAACAAGAGCCGAAGCUCUCCAAGCACAAGCGUACAUCGGAUUAGACAACCUGCCGAAAAUUAAUGUCCCCAAACACAGAGUGAAAUGAAAACCAACAAGAAAAACUUACAACAUUAACCUUACACUAGCGUGCUAUAAAGGAAAGAUUAAAAAAAGAGGAAGGAACUCGGCAAACAAGCCUCGCCUGUUUACCAAAAACAUCGCCUCCUGCAAGUAUAGGAGGUCCCGCCUGCCCUGUGACUAUGGGUUCAACGGCCGCGGUAUUUUGACCGUGCAAAGGUAGCGCAAUCACUUGUCUUUUAAAUGAAGACCUGUAUGAAUGGCGAAACGAGGGCUCAACUGUCUCCCCCUUUUAAUCAGUGAAAUUGAUCUCCCCGUGCAGAAGCGGGGAUACCACCAUAAGACGAGAAGACCCUGUGGAGCUUUAGAUAUAUAAAGGGAUUAUACCAAAUUUGCCUUCUAAACAGGCUAAACUAAUUAAUAUCCUUUUUGCUGUCUUUGGUUGGGGCGACCACGGGGAAAAAUAAAACCCCCACGCGGAUAAAAAGAACUUUUACAGAGUAGAGCCUCAGCUCUACAACACAGAACUUCUGACCUUCAGAUCCGGCCAUGCCGAUCAACGGACCGAGUUACCCCAGGGAUAACAGCGCAAUCCUCUUUAAGAGCCCAUAUCGACAAGGGGGUUUACGACCUCGAUGUUGGAUCAGGACAUCCUAAUGGUGCAG
Molecule: ribosomal RNA, 1197 nt
Filed under: Arcos sp. KU 149
Lineage: Eukaryota; Metazoa; Chordata; Actinopteri; Blenniiformes; Gobiesocidae
Description: partial 16S ribosomal RNA
Rfam family: Bacterial large subunit ribosomal RNA
Source: RNAcentral